Molecule: ribosomal RNA, 467 nt
Filed under: uncultured bacterium
Lineage: Bacteria
Description: partial 16S ribosomal RNA
Rfam family: Bacterial small subunit ribosomal RNA
Source: RNAcentral
GACGAACGCUGGCGGCGUGCUUAACACAUGCAAGUCGAACGGAAAGGCCCUGCUUUUGUGGGGUGCUCGAGUGGCGAACGGGUGAGUAACACGUGAGUAACCUGCCCUUGACUUUGGGAUAACUUCAGGAAACUGGGGCUAAUACCGGAUAGGAGCUCCUGCUGCAUGGCGGGGGUUGGAAAGUUUCGGCGGUUGGGGAUGGACUCGCGGCUUAUCAGCUUGUUGGUGGGGUAGUGGCUUACCAAGGCUUUGACGGGUAGCCGGCCUGAGAGGGUGACCGGCCACAUUGGGACUGAGAUACGGCCCAGACUCCUACGGGAGGCAGCAGUGGGGAAUAUUGCACAAGGGGCGGAAGCCUGAUGCAGCAACGCCGCGUGCGGAUGACGGCCUUCGGGUUGUAAACCGCUUUCGCCUGUGACGAAGCGUGAGUGACGGUAAUGGGUAAAGAAGCACCGGCUAACUACGUG